CUUUCCCUCUUUCUUCCGGCCUAACACAUGCAAGUCGAGCGGAUGAAGGGAGCUUGCUCCUGGAUUCAGCGGCGGACGGGUGAGUAAUGCCUAGGAAUCUGCCUGGUAGUGGGGGAUAACGUCCGGAAACGGGCGCUAAUACCGCAUACGUCCUGAGGGAGAAAGUGGGGGAUCUUCGGACCUCACGCUAUCAGAUGAGCCUAGGUCGGAUUAGCUAGUUGGUGGGGUAAAGGCCUACCAAGGCGACGAUCCGUAACUGGUCUGAGAGGAUGAUCAGUCACACUGGAACUGAGACACGGUCCAGACUCCUACGGGAGGCAGCAGUGGGGAAUAUUGGACAAUGGGCGAAAGCCUGAUCCAGCCAUGCCGCGUGUGUGAAGAAGGUCUUCGGAUUGUAAAGCACUUUAAGUUGGGAGGAAGGGCAGUAAGUUAAUACCUUGCUGUUUUGACGUUACCAACAGAAUAAGCACCGGCUAACUUCGUG
RNAcentral lists this ribosomal RNA (484 nucleotides) under uncultured bacterium. Its description in RNAcentral is "partial 16S ribosomal RNA". It matches the Rfam family "Bacterial small subunit ribosomal RNA", at positions 36 to 507 of the family's 1533-position model. The record is from RNAcentral.